RNAcentral lists this unclassified non-coding RNA (369 nucleotides) under Saccharomyces cerevisiae (brewer's yeast). RNAcentral's name for it is "partial ITS1". The record is from RNAcentral. Lineage: Eukaryota; Fungi; Ascomycota; Saccharomycetes; Saccharomycetales; Saccharomycetaceae.
AUUUCCNGUUACGAAAAUUCUUGUUUUUGACAAAAAUUUAAUGAAUAAAUAAAAUUGUUUGUGUUUGUUACCUCUGGGCCCCGAUUGCUCGAAUGCCCAAAGAAAAAGUUGCAAAGAUAUGAAAACUCCACAGUGUGUUGUAUUGAAACGGUUUUAAUUGUCCUAUAACAAAAGCACAGAAAUCUCUCACCGUUUGGAAUAGCAAGAAAGAAACUUACAGGCCUAGCAAGACCGCGCACUUAAGCGCAGGCCCGGCUGGACUCUCCAUCUCUUGUCUUCUUGCCCAGUAAAAGCUCUCAUGCUCUUGCCAAAACAAAAAAAUCCAUUUUCAAAAUUAUUAAAUUUCUUUAAUGAUCCUUCCGCAGGUUC